Molecule: ribosomal RNA, 663 nt
Filed under: uncultured bacterium
Lineage: Bacteria
Description: bacterial SSU rRNA
Rfam family: Bacterial small subunit ribosomal RNA
Source: RNAcentral
CUGCCCUGUACCGGGGGACAACAGCCAGAAAUGGCUGCUAAUACCGCAUAAGCCUGCGGUGCCGCAUGGCACAGCAGGGAAAACCACGGUGGUACAGGAUGGGCCCGCGUCUGAUUAGUUAGUUGGCAGGGUAACGGCCUACCAAGACGAUGAUCAGUAGCCGGCUUGAGAGAGUGGACGGCCACAUUGGGACUGAGACACGGCCCAGACUCCUGCGGGAGGCAGCAGUGGGGAAUAUUGCACAAUGGGGGAAACCCUGAUGCAGCAAUGCCGCGUGGGUGAAGAAGCACUCCGGUGCGUAAAGCCCUGUCAGCAGGGAAGAAAAUGACAGUACCUGACCAAGAAGCCCCGGCUAACUACGUGCCAGCAGCCGCGGUAAUACGUAGGGGGCAAGCGUUAUCCGGAUUUACUGGGUGUAAAGGGAGCGCAGGCGGUAUGGCAAGUCAGAUGUGAAAACCCAGGGCUCAACCCUGGGACUGCAUUUGAAACUGCCAUACUGGAGUGCCGGAGAGGUAAGUGGAAUUCCUAGUGUAGCGGUGAAAUGCGUAGAUAUUAGGAGGAACACCAGUGGCGAAGGCGGCUUACUGGACGGUAACUGACGCUGAGGCUCGAAAGCGUGGGGAGCAAACAGGAUUAGAUACCCUGGUAGCCCACGCUGUAAAC